CCCUUAGAUGUUCUGGGCCGCACGCGUGCUACACUGAGUGGAUCAGCGGGUCAGGUUGCGCGAAAGCGUUUCCUAAUCUUUAAAUCCGCUCGUGAUGGGGAUUGACGGUUGCAAUUUUCUGUCAUGAACGAGGAAUACCUUGUAAGCGCGGGUCAUCAUCCCGCGCUGAAUACGUCCCUGCCCUUUGUACACACCGCCCGUCGCUCCUACCGAUUAAGUGGUCCGGUGAGGCUUUGGGAUCUGAGCGGAAAGAGCGUUUCGCUGUUUCUGCUCGGAAAACUCAGUCGAACCUUAUCAUUUAGAGGAAGGAGAAGUCGUAACA
Molecule: ribosomal RNA, 322 nt
Filed under: uncultured eukaryote
Lineage: Eukaryota
Description: partial 18S ribosomal RNA
Rfam family: Eukaryotic small subunit ribosomal RNA
Source: RNAcentral